CCUACGGGAGGCAGCAGUGGGGAAUUUUGGACAAUGGGCGAAAGCCUGAUCCAGCAAUGCCGCGUGAGUGAAGAAGGCCUUCGGGUUGUAAAGCUCUUUUGUCAGGGAAGAAACGGUGUUUUCUAAUACAGAAUGCUAAUGACGGUACCUGAAGAAUAAGCACCGGCUAACUACGUGCCAGCAGCCGCGGUAAUACGUAGGGUGCAAGCGUUAAUCGGAAUUACUGGGCGUAAAGCGUGCGCAGGCGGUUUUGUAAGUCUGACGUGAAAUCCCCGGGCUCAACCUGGGAAUUGCGUUGGAGACUGCAAGGCUAGAGUUUGGCAGAGGGGGGUUAGAAUUCCACGUGUAGCAGUGAAAUGCGUAGAUAUGUGGAGGAACACCGAUGGCGAAGGCAGCCCCCUGGGUCAAGACUGACGCUCAUGCACGAAAGCGUGGGGAGCAAACAGGAUUAGAUACCCUGGUAGUCCACGCCCUAAACGAUGUCUACUAGUUGUCGGGUACUUAAUUGACUUGGUAACGCAGCUAACGCGUGAAGUGCCGCCUGGGGAUCGGUCGCAGNUAAACGCAAAUGAAUUGACCGGNUGAGACGNGCGACGACGACGACGAGGAGGAGG
This 614-nucleotide ribosomal RNA is filed under the name uncultured bacterium. RNAcentral describes it as "bacterial SSU rRNA". It matches the Rfam family "Bacterial small subunit ribosomal RNA", at positions 338 to 956 of the family's 1533-position model. The record is from RNAcentral.